RNAcentral lists this transfer RNA (55 nucleotides) under Companilactobacillus tucceti DSM 20183. Its description in RNAcentral is "Lactobacillus tucceti DSM 20183 tRNA". It matches the Rfam family "tRNA", at positions 1 to 53 of the family's 71-position model. From Rfam's summary of the family: Transfer RNA (tRNA) molecules are approximately 80 nucleotides in length. Their secondary structure includes four short double-helical elements and three loops (D, anti-codon, and T loops). Further hydrogen bonds mediate the characteristic L-shaped molecular structure. tRNAs have two regions of fundamental functional importance: the anti-codon, which is responsible for specific mRNA codon recognition, and the 3' end, to which the tRNAs corresponding amino acid is attached (by aminoacyl-tRNA synthetases). tRNAs cope with the degeneracy of the genetic code in two manners: having more than one tRNA (with a specific anti-codon) for a particular amino acid; and 'wobble' base-pairing, i.e. permitting non-standard base-pairing at the 3rd anti-codon position. The record is from Rfam by way of RNAcentral. Lineage: Bacteria; Bacillati; Bacillota; Bacilli; Lactobacillales; Lactobacillaceae.
GGAGGAUUAGCUCAGCUGGGAGAGCAUCUGCCUUACAAGCAGGAGGUCACAGGUU